CAGUAGCCGCGGGAAUACGUAGGGUGCAAGCGUUAAUCGGAAUUACUGGGCGUAAAGCGUGCGCAGGCGGUUUUGUAAGACAGAGGUGAAAUCCCCGGGCUCAACCUGGGAACUGCCUUUGUGACUGCAAGGCUAGAGUACGGCAGAGGGGGAUGGAAUUCCGCGUGUAGCAGUGAAAUGCGUAGAUAUGCGGAGGAACACCGAUGGCGAAGGCAAUCCCCUGGGCCUGUACUGACGAUCAUGCACGAAAGCGUGGGGAGCAAACAGGAUUAGAUACCCGUGUAGUCCCUGUCUCUUAUAC
Molecule: ribosomal RNA, 301 nt
Filed under: uncultured bacterium
Lineage: Bacteria
Description: partial 16S ribosomal RNA
Rfam family: Bacterial small subunit ribosomal RNA
Source: RNAcentral